This 503-nucleotide ribosomal RNA is filed under the name uncultured bacterium. RNAcentral's name for it is "partial 16S ribosomal RNA". It matches the Rfam family "Bacterial small subunit ribosomal RNA", at positions 30 to 523 of the family's 1533-position model. The record is from RNAcentral.
CUUGAACGCUGGCGGCAGGCUUAACACAUGCAAGUCGAGCGGGGUGAUGGUGCUUGCACUAUCACUUAGCGGCGGACGGGUGAGUAAUGCUUAGGAAUCUGCCUAUUAGUGGGGGACAACAUCUCGAAAGGGAUGCUAAUACCGCAUACGUCCUACGGGAGAAAGCAGGGGAUCACUUGUGACCUUGCGCUAAUAGAUGAGCCUAAGUCGGAUUAGCUAGUUGGUGGGGUAAAGGCCUACCAAGGCGACGAUCUGUAGCGGGUCUGAGAGGAUGAUCCGCCAAACUGGGACUGAGACACGGCCCAGACUCCUACGGGAGGUAGCAGUGGGGAAUAUUGGACAAUGGGGGGAACCCUGAUCCAGCCAUGCCGCGUGUGUGAAGAAGGCCUUAUGGUUGUAAAGCACUUUAAGCGAGGAGGAGGCUCUUUUGGUUAAUACCCAGAAUGAGUGGACGUUACUCGCAGAAUAAGCACCGGCUAACUCUGUGCCAGCAGCCGCGGUAA